Molecule: ribosomal RNA, 438 nt
Filed under: uncultured bacterium
Lineage: Bacteria
Description: partial 16S ribosomal RNA
Rfam family: Bacterial small subunit ribosomal RNA
Source: RNAcentral
CCUGGGAGGCAGCAGUGGGGGAUAUUGCACAAUGGGGGGAACCCUGAUGCAGCGACGCCGCGUGGGUGAAGAAGCGCCUCGGCGCGUAAAGCCCUGUCAGCAGGGAAGAAAAUGACGGUACCUGAAGAAGAAGCCCCGGCUAACUACGUGCCAGCAGCCGCGGUAAUACGUAGGGGGCAAGCGUUAUCCGGAUUUACUGGGUGUAAAGGGGGCGCAGACGGCGAUGCAAGCCAGGAGUGAAAGCCCGGGGCCCAACCCCGGGACUGCUCUUGGAACUGCGUGGCUGGAGUGCAGGAGGGGCAGGCGGAAUUCCUGGUGUAGCGGUGAAAUGCGUAGAUAUCAGGAGGAACCCCGAUUGCGAAGGCAGCCUUCCGGCGCCCUACUGACGCUGAGGCACGAAAGUGCGGGGAUCGAACAGGAUUAGAUACCCUUGUAGUC